GACGAACCGUGCAAACGUUGUUCGGAAUCACUGGGCUUAAAGGGCGCGUAGGCGGGCGGCCAAGUCCGGGGUGAAAUCUUUCGGCUCAACCGGAAAAUUGCCUUGGAUACUGGCUGUCUCGAGGGAGGUAGGGGCAUGUGGAACUUCCGGUGGAGCGGUGAAAUGCGUUGAUAUCGGAAGGAACGCCGGUGGCGAAAGCGACGUGCUGGACCUCUUCUGACGCUGAGGCGCGAAAGCUAGGGGAGCGAACGGG
RNAcentral lists this ribosomal RNA (253 nucleotides) under uncultured bacterium. RNAcentral describes it as "partial 16S ribosomal RNA". It matches the Rfam family "Bacterial small subunit ribosomal RNA", at positions 524 to 776 of the family's 1533-position model. The record is from RNAcentral.